This 505-nucleotide ribosomal RNA is filed under the name uncultured bacterium. RNAcentral describes it as "partial 16S ribosomal RNA". It matches the Rfam family "Bacterial small subunit ribosomal RNA", at positions 28 to 507 of the family's 1533-position model. The record is from RNAcentral.
GACGAACGCUGGCGGCGUGCCUAAUACAUGCAAGUAGAACGCACAGUUUCUACCGUAGCUUGCUACACCAUAGACUGUGAGUUGCGAACGGGUGAGUAACGCGUAGGUAACCUGCCUGGUAGCGGGGGAUAACUAUUGGAAACGAUAGCUAAUACCGCAUAAUAUUGAUUAUUGCAUGAUAAUUGAUUGCAAGAUGGUAUUGAAUCACUACUCGAUGGCCCUUCGUUGUGUUAGCUAGUAGGGGAGGUAACGGCUCACCUAGGCGACGAUAGAUAGACGACCUGAGAUGGUGGGUGGCCGCACUGGGACUGAGACACGGCCCAUACGCCUUCGGGAGGCAGCAGUAGGGAAACUGCAGCAAUGGGCGAGAGUCUUUCCGAGCUACGCCGCGGGAGUGAAGAAGGUUGUCAGGUCGGAAAGCUCUGUUUUAAGAGAAGAACGGGUGUGAGAGUGUAAAGUGCACUCUGUGACGGUAACUGACCAGAAAGCAACGGCUAACUACGUG